This 535-nucleotide ribosomal RNA is filed under the name Fusarium mori. Its description in RNAcentral is "partial large subunit ribosomal RNA". It matches the Rfam family "Eukaryotic large subunit ribosomal RNA", at positions 66 to 624 of the family's 3401-position model. RNAcentral also lists the same sequence under 2 other names. Lineage: Eukaryota; Fungi; Ascomycota; Sordariomycetes; Hypocreales; Nectriaceae. The record is from RNAcentral.
CAACAGGGAUUGCCCCAGUAACGGCGAGUGAAGCGGCAACAGCUCAAAUUUGAAAUCUGGCUCUCGGGCCCGAGUUGUAAUUUGUAGAGGAUGCUUUUGGUGAGGUGCCUUCCGAGUUCCCUGGAACGGGACGCCAUAGAGGGUGAGAGCCCCGUCUGGUUGGACGCCGAACCUCUGUAAAGCUCCUUCGACGAGUCGAGUAGUUUGGGAAUGCUGCUCUAAAUGGGAGGUAUAUGUCUUCUAAAGCUAAAUACCGGCCAGAGACCGAUAGCGCACAAGUAGAGUGAUCGAAAGAUGAAAAGAACUUUGAAAAGAGAGUUAAACAGUACGUGAAAUUGUUGAAAGGGAAGCGCUUGUGACCAGACUUGGGCUUGGUUGAUCAUCCGGGGUUCUCCCCGGUGCACUCUUCCGGCCCAGGCCAGCAUCAGUUCGCCCUGGGGGACAAAGGCAUCGGGAACGUGGCUCUCUCCGGGGAGUGUUAUAGCCCGUUGCGUAAUACCCUGCGGCGGACUGAGGUUCGCGCAUUCGCAAGGAU